Long non-coding RNA from Cornus florida, 609 nucleotides. RefSeq lists it as uncharacterized. NCBI's taxonomy places the organism in Eukaryota, Viridiplantae, Streptophyta, Magnoliopsida, Cornales, Cornaceae. The transcript has 3 exons. The record is from RefSeq and is a predicted model, not a curated record.
ACAUGUACAGUCCACACUCAUACAAUUUUUUAGGGCAAAAUCAUUUCAGCCUCCCCAAUUCCCUCCAUCUCUAUUCUCGUUCUCAACUCGGCCCUCUCUAUGUCUCUGCAACUGCAAAGUACAAAAUCUACAAGAAUCAGAACCCAUAUCGGCAUAUCAGAUAUGAUUUUGAAUAACGACGACGAUGAUGAUUUUGAAUCACCCACAAACCCUCAAGCGUCUCCAGCGAGGUCGCACCACCGAAUCCACAUCGGCCACCCAGAAGCGGUAGUUGUGGUGUAGUGUCGUGAAGUCUUCCAAAGGGACUGGGAAAAGACAACAACGAGAGCGUCAAUUGCAUGGCCUAUCAAGUACAUCAAAAUUUGUCAAAGCUAGGAUUGCGGGUUACGGUUGCAGUUACUUUUUUUGUUGCCGCUAUAUUUUUUGUAUGGCUCAUGAAAAAGUUGCAAGAAGAUAUGAAGAAUUUUUGUUUUAUUUUGGUUAAGUAAAUAUAUAAGGUGUGAAUCAUGUACUUCUUUCAGAUUUGUAUAUGGUUAAUUUUUGUAUUAAACAAUGAUUUGGAAUUGGUUAUAUAUAUAUAUAUGUAUCAGUUGUAAAUUAUUUUGGUUA